UAUCAAAAACAUUUCUUGGUGAAUUUUGAAUACUAGGUAAGGCCUGCUCUAUGAUAUGAUUUAAUGGCUGCAGUAUAUUAACUGUACAAAGGUAGCAUAAUAAUUAGUUUUUUAAUUGGAGACUUGUAUGAAAGGUUUUAUGAAAUUAAAGCUUUAUUUUAGUAAUUUAUAUAAUUUUAUUUUUAUGUGAAAAGGCAUAGAUAAGUAUAUUAGACGAGAAGACCCUAUAGAUUUUUAUAAAUAUUAUAAUAGAGUUAGUAAGAAUUAAAAAUUUUUAUUUAUAGAUAUUAUUUAGUUGGGGUGACUUUUGAAUUUAAGAAAUUUUAGGAGUAAAGUUUUACAUUGAUGAGUGAUUUGUUGAUCCAAUUAUUUUGAUUAUUAGAUUAAAAUACCUUAGGGAUAACAGCAUAAUUUAUUUGGAAAGUUCAUAUUUAUAAAUAAGUUUAUGACCUCGAUGUUGGAUUAAAAUUAAUUUUAGAAGCAGAAAUUUAUGAUUUA
RNAcentral lists this ribosomal RNA (498 nucleotides) under Astomella sp. SLW-2002. RNAcentral describes it as "partial 16S ribosomal RNA". Lineage: Eukaryota; Metazoa; Arthropoda; Insecta; Diptera; Acroceridae. The record is from RNAcentral.